Molecule: ribosomal RNA, 572 nt
Filed under: Lichenodiplis lecanorae
Lineage: Eukaryota; Fungi; Ascomycota; Eurotiomycetes; Verrucariales; Verrucariaceae
Description: bacterial SSU rRNA
Rfam family: Bacterial small subunit ribosomal RNA
Source: RNAcentral
UCAUCUUUAUUAGGUUUAUAGGGUACCUAGACCGAAAACCAAGCCUUAAUCGGGACUAGUUUUCUAGAGUUUUAUGUGAGAAAGUUGAAUGAUCAGAGUAGAGUCAAAAUUCGCUAAUACUGAUAAGACGGAUAACGGCGAAGGCUGCUUUCUAUGUAAAAAACUGACGUUGAGGUACGAAGCCCAGGGUAGCAAGAAGGAUUAGAUACCCUAGUAGUCCUGGGAGAAAAUUAUGAGUGCCAUAGAUUAGAUAUAUGAUUAAUUUAUAAAUGAAAGUGUAAGCAUUCCACCUCAUGAGUAAAGCGGCAACGCCCAAAUUGAAAUCAUUAGACCGUUUCUGAAACCAGUAGUGAAGUAUGUUAUUUAAUUCGAUAAUCCGCGAAAAACCUUACCACACUUUGAAUAUUAUUCAAUUUUUACAAGCGCUGCACGGCUGUCUACAGUUGAUAUCGUGAGAUUUUGGUUAAUUCCUUUAAUUAACGAAAACCCUUGUUUUAUUUUUUCAAAUAAAGCUGUUCUCCGUCUAGAUGGGAUAUGCUAAAAGGGAGCAAGACAAGUCAUUAUGGCCUUAA